RNAcentral lists this ribosomal RNA (229 nucleotides) under uncultured bacterium. Its description in RNAcentral is "partial 16S ribosomal RNA". It matches the Rfam family "Bacterial small subunit ribosomal RNA", at positions 568 to 796 of the family's 1533-position model. The record is from RNAcentral.
UCCGCAGGCGGUCAAUUAAGUCAGAGGUGAAAUACCAUAGCUCAACCAUGGAACUGCCUUUGAUACUGGUUGACUUGAGUCAUAUGGAAGUAGAUAGAAUGUGUAGUGUAGCGGUGAAAUGCAUAGAUAUUACACAGAAUACCGAUUGCGAAGGCAGUCUACUACGUAUGUACUGACGCUGAGGGACGAAAGCGUGGGGAGCGAACAGGAUUAGAUACCCUGGUAGUCC